UUUGGUGGCUUGGCGGCGGGGUCACACCCGUUCUCAUUCCGAACACGGAAGUUAAGCUCGCUAGCGGCGAUGGUAUUCCACUUUGUGGGAGAGAGUAGCUAGCCGCCAGAA
RNAcentral lists this ribosomal RNA (111 nucleotides) under Patescibacteria group bacterium. The record is from RNAcentral.